UGCUUUGACCUUUUAAUACCAUUAUUGAUGUCAAAUCGAUACCAAUUACCGGUACAUUGUUCUGAAUAUAGUUUAAAAUAUGUGCAUUAAUCUAAUACUAUCUAAUGAUGAUUGCCAAGUACAGGAAUUUUGGCAGAAUGGUGCCAGCUAUUACACUACUUGCUUAAGUGUCGAGUGGAUACAGGAAUAGAGAGAACACAGGACAAAUUGCUCCAUGGUGGCUGAUAAAUUCAAACUUGUGAUAGAGGAAACCCAUUUCAUUAGAUGUUUAGUGACACCCCAGCACAUAGGAGAAUUGGAUGUCAGAUAAAGUUAUAUAUAAA
Long non-coding RNA from Gigantopelta aegis, 323 nucleotides. RefSeq lists it as uncharacterized. The transcript has 3 exons. Lineage: Eukaryota; Metazoa; Mollusca; Gastropoda; Neomphalida; Peltospiridae. The record is from RefSeq and is a predicted model, not a curated record.